UACGUAGGGUGCGAGCGUUGUCCGGAAUUAUUGGGCGUAAAGAGCUCGUAGGCGGUUUGUCGCGUCGACUGUGAAAACCUACAGCUUAACUGUGGGCUUGCAGUCGAUACGGGCAGACUUGAUUUCGGUAGGGGAGACUGGAAUUCCUGGUGUAGCGGUGAAAUGCGCAGAUAUCAGGAGGAACACCGGUGGCGAAGGCGGGUCUCUGGGCCGAUACUGACGCUGAGGAGCGAAAGCGUGGGGAGCGAACAGG
This 253-nucleotide ribosomal RNA is filed under the name uncultured bacterium. Its description in RNAcentral is "partial 16S ribosomal RNA". It matches the Rfam family "Bacterial small subunit ribosomal RNA", at positions 524 to 776 of the family's 1533-position model. The record is from RNAcentral.